UCUUCGGACUUUGAGACCGGCGCACGGGUGCGUAACGCGUAUGCAAUCUACCUUUUACAGAGGGAUAGCCCAGAGAAAUUUGGAUUAAUACCUCAUAGUAUAGCUGUGCCGCAUGGUACUACUAUUAAAGUCACAACGGUAAAAGAUGAGCAUGCGUCCCAUUAGCUAGUUGGUAAGGUAACGGCUUACCAAGGCUACGAUGGGUAGGGGUCCUGAGAGGGAGAUCCCCCAUACUGGUACUGAGACACGGACCAGACUCCUACGGGAGGCAGCAGUGAGGAAUAUUGGACAAUGGGCGCAAGCCUGAUCCAGCCAUGCCGCGUGCAGGAUGACGGUCCUAUGGAUUGUAAACUGCUUUUAUACGAGAAGAAACACUACUUCGUGAAGUAGCUUGACGGUAUCGUAAGAAUAAGGAUCGGCUAACUCCGUG
RNAcentral lists this ribosomal RNA (430 nucleotides) under Flavobacterium sp. RNAcentral describes it as "bacterial SSU rRNA". It matches the Rfam family "Bacterial small subunit ribosomal RNA", at positions 77 to 507 of the family's 1533-position model. Lineage: Bacteria; Pseudomonadati; Bacteroidota; Flavobacteriia; Flavobacteriales; Flavobacteriaceae. The record is from RNAcentral.